This 253-nucleotide ribosomal RNA is filed under the name uncultured bacterium. RNAcentral describes it as "partial 16S ribosomal RNA". It matches the Rfam family "Bacterial small subunit ribosomal RNA", at positions 524 to 776 of the family's 1533-position model. The record is from RNAcentral.
UACGUAGGUGGCAAGCGUUACUCGGAAUCACUGGGCGUAAAGCGCAGGUAGGCGGUUUGAUAAGUCUGUUGUGAAAGCUCCCGGCUUAACUGGGAGAGGUCAACGGAAACUGUCAAGCUAGAGUGUGGUAGAGGAAGAUGGAAUUCCCGGUGUAGCGGUGAAAUGCGUAGAUAUCGGGAGGAAUACCUAUGGCGAAAGCAGUCUUCUGGACCAUCACUGACGCUGAUCUGCGAAAGCUAGGGGAGCAAACAGG